This 64-nucleotide transfer RNA is filed under the name Hiatella arctica. RNAcentral describes it as "tRNA-Asp". It matches the Rfam family "tRNA". From Rfam's summary of the family: Transfer RNA (tRNA) molecules are approximately 80 nucleotides in length. Their secondary structure includes four short double-helical elements and three loops (D, anti-codon, and T loops). Further hydrogen bonds mediate the characteristic L-shaped molecular structure. tRNAs have two regions of fundamental functional importance: the anti-codon, which is responsible for specific mRNA codon recognition, and the 3' end, to which the tRNAs corresponding amino acid is attached (by aminoacyl-tRNA synthetases). tRNAs cope with the degeneracy of the genetic code in two manners: having more than one tRNA (with a specific anti-codon) for a particular amino acid; and 'wobble' base-pairing, i.e. permitting non-standard base-pairing at the 3rd anti-codon position. Lineage: Eukaryota; Metazoa; Mollusca; Bivalvia; Adapedonta; Hiatellidae. The record is from RNAcentral.
GAGGGAGUAGUUUAAUUAAGAACUUAAAAUUGUCAAUUUUAAAGUGAGUCAAACUCCUCCCUUU